Molecule: ribosomal RNA, 253 nt
Filed under: uncultured bacterium
Lineage: Bacteria
Description: partial 16S ribosomal RNA
Rfam family: Bacterial small subunit ribosomal RNA
Source: RNAcentral
UACGGAGGGAGCUAGCGUUGUUCGGAAUUACUGGGCGUAAAGCGCGCGUAGGCGGCUUUGUAAGUUAGAGGUGAAAGCCCGGGGCUCAACUCCGGAACUGCCUUUAAGACUGCAUCGCUUGAAUCCGGGAGAGGUGAGUGGAAUUCCGAGUGUAGAGGUGAAAUUCGUAGAUAUUCGGAAGAACACCAGUGGCGAAGGCGACUGACUGGACAAGUAUUGACGCUGAGGUGCGAAAGCGUGGGGAGCAAACAGG